Molecule: ribosomal RNA, 460 nt
Filed under: uncultured bacterium
Lineage: Bacteria
Description: partial 16S ribosomal RNA
Rfam family: Bacterial small subunit ribosomal RNA
Source: RNAcentral
CCUACGGGCGGCAGCAGUGAGGAAUAUUGGUCAAUGGGCGGAAGCCUGAACCAGCCAAGUAGCGUGCAGGAUGACGGCCCUACGGGUUGUAAACUGCUUUUAUACGGGAAUAACGCGCCUUACGUGUAGGGCUUUGCACGUACCGUAUGAAUAAGGACCGGCUAAUUCCGUUCCAGCAGCCGCGGUCAUACGGCAGGGCCGGGCGUUAUCCGGAUUUAUUGGGUGUAAAGGGAGCGUAGGCCGCAUGUCAAGCGUGCUGUGAAAUGGCCGGGCUCAACCCGGGCCUUGCAGCGCGAACUGGCGUGCUUGAGUCCGCGGAAGGCAGGCGGAAUUCGUCGUGUAGCGGUGAAAUGCUUAGAUAUGACGAAGAACCCCGAUUGCGAAGGCAGCUUGCUGCAGCGGAACUGACGCUGAUGCUCGAAAGUGUGGGUAUCAAACAGGAUUAGAUACCCUUGUAGUC